This 253-nucleotide ribosomal RNA is filed under the name uncultured bacterium. RNAcentral's name for it is "partial 16S ribosomal RNA". It matches the Rfam family "Bacterial small subunit ribosomal RNA", at positions 524 to 776 of the family's 1533-position model. The record is from RNAcentral.
UACGAAGGGUGCGAGCGUUGUUCGGAAUUACUGGGCGUAAAGGGCGCGUAGGCGGCCGAUCAAGUUAGAUGUGAAAGUCCUGGGCUUAACCUGGGGACUGCAUUUGAUACUGAUUGGCUUGAAUUCGGGAGAGGAUAGCGGAAUUCCCAGUGUAGAGGUGAAAUUCGUAGAUAUUGGGAAGAACACCGGUGGCGAAGGCGGCUAUCUGGACCGACAUUGACGCUGAGGCGCGAAAGCGUGGGGAGCAAACAGG